This is a non-coding RNA of Podarcis lilfordi (Lilford's wall lizard), 6055 nucleotides long. The record is from the annotation of a GenBank genome assembly. Lineage: Eukaryota; Metazoa; Chordata; Lepidosauria; Squamata; Lacertidae.
UGUCAUUCAAGAACACCUAGAAGUGUACUGCUUUUAAAAUUUUGAAUGCCUUUCCAGAGGACAAUUCAAGCUCUUGUACAGAAUAUUCCUCACUUGAAUUGCCAUUUCAUCUCCAUCUUACAAUAAAAAGAUGGGGAAAUCUACUGAAUCACCUUGACUGUAGGUAAGUCAGAAGGCCGUUUCAGGAGUGGCAUCUGUGUGUAAACUGAAUGUGUGGCUGUGCUCCAAUGCACUUGCACUAUCUAGCUCAAUGUGAACUUUGCAAAUUAGCAGAAAGAAACCUGGCAUUCUCCAAGGUUCAAAGUCACUUAGAGAGUAGAGAGAUUGGAAUUGCGUGGGGUGAGAAUGCAUGAUGAGAGCUUACAUCCCACAGAUAAAGAAGCUCCACAACCUCCUAUGGCUAGUAAAGUCUGGUCCUUUAGGGUGAAGCAAUACUGUACCAACCUCAGCCUGCUCUCACUGGCCUCACUUUUUACUUACAACCUGAUGGUCUACUUGCCCUACUAGUCCCAAUAGAAACCAGCCACCAUUGCCUAAGGUUAUAGAUAGAUGUUGUUCUUGCAUGUAUAACAUACUGCUAUUGUUUACAGCAUCUUAAAAAGCAGAGACAUCACCUUGCUGACAAAGGUUCGUAUAGUUAAAACUAUGGUUUUCCCAGUAGUGAUGUAUGGAAGUGAGAGCUGGACUAUAAAGAAGGCUGAUCGCCGAAGAAUUGAUGCUUUUGAAUUAUGGUGCUGGAGGAGACUCUUGAGAGUCCCAUGGACUGCAAGAAGAUCAAACCUAUCCAUUCUGAAGGAAAUCAGCCCUGAGUGCUCACUGGAAGGACAGAUAGUGAAGCUGAGGCUUCAAUACUUUGGCCACCUCAUGAGAAGAGAAGACUCCCUGGAAAAGACCCUGAUGUUGGGAAAGAUGGAGGGCACAAGGAGAAGGGGAUGACAGAGGAAGAGAUGGUUGGACAGUGUUCUCGAAGUUACCAGCAUGAGUUUGACCAAACUGCGGGAGGCAGUGGAAGACAGGAGUGCCUGGCGUGCUCUGGUCCAUGGGGUCAUGAAGAGUCGGACACGACUAAACAACAACAAAAUUGUUUACAUGGCCAGUUAAUCCAAGGAUAUAAGAUAGGAGAGUCAAGAAUCCCUGAUCUCUCUAGAAGUUAUAUCCUCCAGCACCACCCCAUUCACUUAAAUGACUCUUUAUUCUCUUGAACUUUUAAGCAAAUCAGGGAUCAGGCUGAGUCCAAUUAUUGUUAUCACACGAUAACUGACAAGUUCUAGGACUCCAGCCAGUUUGGCAUUUGGUGUCAGAUAGACCUAUACUUGUGCAUAAAUAAACAUCUCUUUCUCUCCCCCCCCUCACCCUCUUACAAGGUAGGGAAAUAAUCUUAAUCCUUGUUUUCUAUCAGCCUACCAACAUAAAACCAUUGAAUAAUAGAAUUGUAGAGUUUGAAGGGACCUGAGGGUCAUCUAGUCCAACCCCCUGCGAUGCAGGGAUCUCAACUAGAUCAUACAUGAUAAAUGGUCAUCCAACAUCUGCUUUAAAACAUCCAUGGAAGGAAAGUCCACCAUGGGAGUCUGUUCCACUGUCAAACAACUCUUACUGUCAGAAAGCUCUCCCCGGUGUUUAGUCAGAAUCUCUGUUCUUGUAACUUGAAGCCAUGGGUACUGGUCCUCCAGAGCAGGAGAAAACAAUCUUGCUCCAUUCUCCAUGUGACAGCCAUGGGUCUGUACAGAGUAAUAAUGAAAUGGCAUAAAGGUGACUUCAGAAAUAAAAUGCAUGAGCUCUGAAAUAGAACUCGGAAGGCAUAACAAGAGACAAGCAAGGAAGGGGGUCUGAUUUUCUUGAUGGUCUCAGAAACUGCUCAGAAACUACCCCUUCUGGCCAGAUCAGAUCUCUGCUUAAAAAGAAAAAAGAGCUCUUAGGCUUUCAAGUGGCAGUCUGCCAAAUAUUCAUGAUAAGCUUGUAUUGCUCAUUGCUUGAGCAGCCAAACAAUGACCUGCAUUGUUCCCAUAUCAACCAGGGAGUGGCUCCCCAGACAUUUUUUUUAAAGAAAAACCCCAAAGUAUUUUAAGAACAGAAAACAGGACCCAAUUAGGGUUGCUUUGACUAAGCUAGCCAAAAGGCAUAUCUACACUAAAAAUGGGGUCAAUAAUGAGAUCUCAUGUUCCCCUCCAAAACAGAGAUGAAGAGACUGACUAUUUUCUCAUCUGCUGCCAGGCUGAAUUUUUAUCUCUGGCACUUUUCAGGCAAGACCAGAAGAAAAACAAAAUAUACGCAAAUAGCCCCCACCUUUAUUUUGGACUUUUGCAUUAAUUGCUGUAAAGCAGCUAGAUUUAAAAGUGUCUCAGUUCACUAGACAGCACAGCAAAACAUUUAUAACAGAGUUGGUCUGCAAUUCUAUGCUCCAUCUCGAAAGAAUGUGAUCACAAUAAACCUUUUAUUAAGCUUUGUGGUAACCUAGGAAAAACGCAGGCCUCUCUGUGCAGCUCAUGGGUUUAUUGCCACGCCUCACAUCCCUCCCUAAACCUGUCCUUGUCAAGUCCUUGACUGGAUAGAGGAAAGACACCCUAAGACCUCCUCAUGAAGGGAAGCAGCAGCAGCUUUGACUUUUGCAUGGCUGAAAUGCAGUCUACUAAAAGGACCCCUGACAGUUAAGACCAGUCGCGAACGACUCUGGGGUUGCGGUGCUCAUCUCACUUUACUGGCUGAGGGAGCCAAUGUUUGUCUGCAGACAGUUUUUCUGGGUCAUGUGGCCAGCAUGACUAAGAUGCUUCUGGUGAAACCAGAGCAGUGCACAGAAAUACCGGAGCGGUACCUAUUUAUCUACUUGCAUUUUGACGUGCUUUUGAACUGCUAGGUUGGCAGGAGCUGGGACUGAACAAUGGGAGCUCACCCAGUCACAGGGAUUCGAACCACCGAUCUUCUAAUCAGCAAGCCCUAGGCUCAGUGGUUUACACCACAACGUCACCCUACGUCCCCAUGCAAUCUACUAUAUAGUGUAAAAGUCACACCAGCUCUUCCACCCAUUUUACCUUUGACACUGCCCCCUGCUGGCAUGUGACCCCUGGAAGGAUGCCCAUGAGGGAACGCAGCCGUUGCGUUGAAAAGUUCUCCACCCAAGUUUUAAGUACUUCAGGGGGGUUCAAUUUUGGAGCUGAAUUUAAACCCUCCCCUUUCUUUUCAUAUUGAAUUGAACUCAGGCCCAACUGGUGCCCCCCACCAUGACCACCUAUGAAAGCUGUGCUUCAUCUCAAAUCCUUAACACAUUUGGCAAACUCAGAAUGAGGAAAACAAAUUAUCCUGGAACCACAUUAUUGAGCCAACUGUAGCUGUCCAGGAAAAGUCCUUCCCAGUCCUAUAAAAAUAGAAUCAUUUAGUUCAAUGGGUAGGAACAGUAAGAUGUCUGAAAGGCCAGUCCACUGUAACUUGAUAAAAGACCAGAAGAGUGCUGUCCUGCCAUCCCACCCAUUGGCCAGUUCAAGCAACUAGCAAUAAAAAGGGCCAAUUGGAUAUGAUAGUGUAGGGGUUGAAAUUCAUCCCAAAGCAUCUCCUUGGUCUGACUCUUCAACUCUGCCCUAGGAGAUGUGCCAGUCCUUGCGCAUCUGCUCACCACCAGUCUGUGUGAUGGCACUGGAGAGACAAAUUAACCCAACUAAUGCAACAUCUCUGGAGCUCAUUCACAGUCGUUAAAUAAGAGUUCUUAUUAAAGACCAGACCCUGGAGCUAGAGUCUGAAUGUCUAGUCUCACUCUCAUAAAUGCAAGCAAUGCCAAACUUGCUCAAACUGAAGGACUGUGAGUUUCUAGACAUUUUUUUAAAGAAGAAUUCUGAGUAAUACAAGCUGCCUGUCUUGGCGAUAAGAGAAGGGUUAUUGUCCCACAAGCCAACUUCAUCUAGAACUUGAGAUCUUUUUCCUGAGGGGGAAGGGAAGAAAUUGUUGUGUUCUGGGUAGGGAUGUAGAAGAAAUUUAGUUUACAUUUAAAGGAGAAGCCACAUCCGUUACAUCCCCCCUCCCUGCAGCUGUUCUCCAACGGCAACAUGGUCACCCUUGGAAAUUCGCACUUCUCUGAAUUUUGCAAUGCAUUUCUCCAGGCAAGUGUUGUGAUCAAGGAUGCAUAUACUAGGGUAAGGUGCACACUAAAAAGCAUAUAUUGAUGAAAAUAUACAAACAUACAGGGGAAAGUGUGAGUUAGGCAAAAGUGCGUACAAGAAUGUGUUAAAAAUGUGUGCACUAAACUGCUGAUGAUGUGAAUUGUGAAUAACUGGAAUUAAGCCUUGGGGACAUGGGGAGCAGGGGCGGAAUUGACAAAUUUGCCCAUCCCUAGCUGGGCCUUGGUUGCUUGCCUGCUGCUGCUCCCCCUCCUUCCUCUUUCCUGCCACCUAUACUCUUUUGCAUGAUAGUAAUGAGAUGUACUAUUUAGUGCUGCCACUGUCUAUGUGACAUAUUUUUGAAACAAACAAACAAACAAAAAUCCUUCCAGUAGCACCUUAGAGACCAAUUAAGUUUGUUAUUGGUAUGAACUUUCAUGUGCAUGCACACUUCUUCAGAUACCUAUCUGAAGAAGUGUGCAUGCACACGAAAGCUCAUACCAAUAACAAACUUAGUUGGUCUCUAAGGUGCUACUGGAAGGAUUUUUUAUUUUUAUUUUGUUUUGACUACAGCAGACCAACACGGCUACCUACCUAUAACUAUAUUUUUGAAAGCAAGAGAGAGGAAGCAUAUUCUACAAACAGGAAAUAUACCUUUGUGGUUAUUUCUUAUUGUGUUUCUUAUUUAUAAUUUCGCCUUAUUAGGGCUCCUAGCUUAUCAUUCCAUUGAAGGAUGUACAGCAAAUGAUACGAUCAGUAAGAAUACAGCUAAGAUGCUUCAGAAGAACUAUUUCCUCUCAAAAUCUGAAUAAAGAUUCUAAAUUUCCAGUGUGGAUAAAAAUGAGGGGAGAAGAAGCAUUCUUAGAUCAUUCUACAUCUUUUUUGUGCAUCCCCCUCUUACUUACUUUCCUGUCUUCAAAUCAUGCUCAAGGUGACUCAUACGAAUAUUAUCAAAAUAUUUUCUGUUUCAAUUUUGACUCCUUCUUACUCCCCAGUUUUGAUCAAUUACUCAAUUUCCAAGAAAGGGUUAGAUGAGAGCUUUCCAAGAGAAACUCCCAGAAAAAAAAGAUACUACCCAGAUUUACCAAAACACAUCUGAAGGUAGGUGAAUUAUUAUUGAAUUGUUAUCAUUCCACAAUGGUACUCUACAAAGCUAUUUGAUGGAAUAUUUACUUUUUUAAAAAAUGGACAGUUAUUUGGCAGAGUGGGCUUCUACAUCUGAACAUGCUCAGUCUCACACUUGCCCAUAGUUAGGAACAUAAGAAGAGCUCUGCUGGAUCAGACCAAAGACCUAUCUUGCCCGGCAUUCUGUUCUCACAGUGGCCAACAAGAAGUAUAUGGGAAGCCUUCAAGCAAGUUGCAUUGAGGAAAGUUCACAUGCUUGUUGUACUGUGUUCUGCUGAUGGAAUUCUAGAGAUGGUGGUGGCUCCAGCAAAUGUGGCAGUUUCACAUUACAAGGAAUAUGCAUGUGGGGAUGUGUAAAACAGGGGAUGCUCAUACAUAGGGCAUCUAAUGCCACCAUUUCAUGUCUAAGGAUGGACAUAUCUAUUUCCAAACCAUGCAACUUCUUUCCCAGGCUAGGAAGCCCUGUGGCUCUGUCUAAUUCUGGUGAACCUCUUCUCUGCUCUCCCAACUGUCCACAUAGCAGCAGUCAUUUUUUCAGGCUGCAGCAAAGGGAAUCAGGGGCACUCUGGGAUCUGCUGAAAGGCCAGCUUCUUUUCCUGAAUGGUUUCCAUUCCAGUUGGUCAUAAGGAUUACUAAGGAACCUUAAGAAUUGUUGUCUGAGUUUUCCAGCUUUCCUCUUCCUUCCUCAUCCCUUUAUCCUUUUGUAUCAUUUCUUUUAGAAGACGAUCCUGAAGGAAGAGACUGUCUUAUUUUUUACUGAUUGUUUCUGAGCUGCUCUGGGAGCCUUUUCGCCUGAAGAGCAAAGUAAAAACACUUCAAAUAAAUAAUAAAUAUAAAUUAAUAUUUCA